This 499-nucleotide ribosomal RNA is filed under the name uncultured bacterium. RNAcentral describes it as "SSU rRNA". It matches the Rfam family "Bacterial small subunit ribosomal RNA", at positions 26 to 521 of the family's 1533-position model. The record is from RNAcentral.
AGGACGAACGCUGGCGGCGUGCUUAACACAUGCAAGUCGAGCGGUGACCCUCCUUCGGGAGGUGAUCAGCGGCGAACGGGUGAGUAACACGUGGGCAACCUGCCCCUCACACUGGGAUAACCUCGGGAAACCGGGGCUAAUACCGGAUACGACCUCGAGCGGCAUCUCUUGAGGUGGAAAGCUCCGACGGUGAGGGAUGGGCCCGCGGCCUAUCAGCUUGUUGGUGGGGUAAUGGCCUACCAAGGCGACGACGGGUAGCCGGCCUGAGAGGGCGACCGGCCACACUGGGACUGAGACACGGCCCAGACUCCUACGGGAGGCAGCAGUGGGGAAUAUUGCGCAAUGGGCGAAAGCCUGACGCAGCGACGCCGCGUGAGGGAUGAAGGCCUUCGGGUUGUAAACCUCUUUCAGUUGGGACGAAGCUUCGGCGGUGAAUAGCCGUCUGGAGUGACGGUACCUUCAGAAGAAGCCCGGCUAACUACGCGCCAGCAGCCGCGGU